Molecule: ribosomal RNA, 97 nt
Filed under: Salmonella enterica
Lineage: Bacteria; Pseudomonadati; Pseudomonadota; Gammaproteobacteria; Enterobacterales; Enterobacteriaceae
Description: partial 23S ribosomal RNA
Rfam family: Bacterial large subunit ribosomal RNA
Source: RNAcentral
GGUUAAGCGACUAAGCGUACACGGUGGAUGCCCUGGCAGUCAGAGGCGAUGAAGGGCGUGCUAAUCUGCGAUAAGCGCCGGUAAGGUGAUAUGUAUG